AGAGUUUGAUCAUGGCUCAGAGCGAACGCUGGCGGCAUGCCUAACACAUGCAAGUCGAACGAACCUUAUCAGCUUAUCGGUAAGGCUAGUGGCAGACGGGUGAGUAAUACGUGGGCAAUCUGCCCUCGAGAAGGGGAUAACCUUGGGAAACCAGGGCUAAUACCGCAUGAGACCACAGCCGGACAUCCGGCAGGGGUUAAAGCUCCGCAAGGGGCGCUCGGGGAGGAGUCCACGGCCUAUCAGCUUGUUGGCGGGGUAACGGCCCACCAAGGCUACGACGGGUAAGCGGUCUGAAAGGACGACCGCUCACAAUGGCACUGAGACACGGGCCAUACUCCUACGGGAGGCAGCAGUGGGGAAUUUUGCGCAAUGGGGGAAACCCUGACGCAGCGAUGCCGCGUGGAGGACGAAGGUCUUCGGAUUGUAAACUCCUUUUGCGGGGGAAGAAUGACGGCGUGAAUAACGUCGUUCGACGGUACUCCGCGAAUAAGCCACGGCUAACUUCGUGCCAGCAGCCGCGGUAAGACGAAGGUGGCGAGCGUUACUCGGAAUUACUAGGCGUAAAGCGCGAGCAGGCGGUUCGGUAAGUCUGUUGUGAAAGCCCUGGGCUCAACCCGGGGAGGCCAAUGGAUACUACCGGACUUGAAUACGGGAGAGGUCGCUGGAAUUCCUGGUGUAGCGGUGAAAUGCGUAGAUAUCAGGAGGAACACCAAAGGCGAAGGCAGGUGACUGGACCGUUAUUGACGCUGAGUCGCGAAAGCCGGGGGAGCAAACAGGAUUAGAUACCCUAGUAGUCC
RNAcentral lists this ribosomal RNA (797 nucleotides) under uncultured bacterium. RNAcentral describes it as "bacterial SSU rRNA". It matches the Rfam family "Bacterial small subunit ribosomal RNA", at positions 8 to 796 of the family's 1533-position model. The record is from RNAcentral.